Molecule: ribosomal RNA, 253 nt
Filed under: uncultured bacterium
Lineage: Bacteria
Description: partial 16S ribosomal RNA
Rfam family: Bacterial small subunit ribosomal RNA
Source: RNAcentral
UACGUAGGGGGCAAGCGUUAUCCGGAUUUACUGGGUGUAAAGGGAGCGUAGACGGCUUUGCGAGCCAGAUGUGAAAGCCCGGGGCUCAACCUCGGGACUGCAUUUGGAACUGUAUGGCUGGAGUGUCGGAGAGGCAGGCGGAAUUCCUAGUGUAGCGGUGAAAUGCGUAGAUAUUAGGAGGAACACCAGUGGCGAAGGCGGCCUGCUGGACGAUGACUGACGUUGAGGCUCGAAAGCGUGGGGAGCAAACAGG